CCAGGGCUCGAACCCAUGUCCCCUGCAUUGGUAGGUGGAUUCCGGACCACUGUGCCACCAGGGAAGUCCCGUGUGGGGGACUUUGAAUGAUGCCUGGUCCCUGAUGAGUCACUGUCUGGUGUCACAUACAGCCCCAGACACAAGGAGACCUGGCAUGGAGGGGCAGAAAGCAUAAAUUUGGAGCAGAGCGAGGCCUAGAUUUCAGACCUUUCCACUCACUAGUUGUGUGGCCCUGGGCUGGUCUCUUGGCCUCUCUUAGCCUCUGAUUCUAGAAGGGAAUAGCAGUUGUUUCAUCCUUACUGGCAGGCUGUGAGAUCAGAUGUCAGUCUUACCCCAGGCCCUCCCACUCCCCUUGCUGGUCAAAUGCCACUUCUUAACCAAGCACGCCACCCCCCAGGCCUUGGGUGUGGCAUUAUUCCUCAGUCUCCCACACCACCACAGUCCCUGGGGCUACAGGAAGCCUUCUGGGAGUGCCCCAGUCCCUCUAAAGGGGUUGGAGCCAAUCCAGGGCCUGUGCAGUGAGGGGACCAAAUGGGAGGCUGGGGUAGGGAGUGCAAGGACCCUCCCAUACCUGCUUCACCACCGUGUUCCCCCCAUUCUCUGAUGGGAUAUUUGCAACUCCCUCCCCUUUCUCUAAGCUCAGGCCCUGCUUGUCUGUUCCACAACAAGGAGUGAAUGUUAUUUAAAAGGAGAUCAGGAGAUUUGCCUUAAAUAGGCAUGGAGUGCAGUGCCAGGGCCCAGGGUGCAGGGCGGGGGAGGAGGCCACCCUGGGUGUUGGAGAGAAAGGACUGGAGCUGAACAGAGAGAACACCCUCCCUAAGGGUGUGCACAGCCCUUCACAGUUUACCCAGAUUAGUCCUGGGCUGUGGUGGAUCGGUUACACGGGGCUUAUUCCCACCCUACCCCCAUUCUGAGGAUGAGGAAACUGAGGCCUAGCUUAGGGACCUGACGGGUGGGCUGGUUGCCAGGUGGCAUCUGAGGAGGAUGCCAUGGUCUUCCUGCUUCAGUCCCCAGGAGCUGGGGCCUCCUGCAGCAGGGAGGAGGCCCCUGCAGGGUUGGGGGGUAGGUCUUGAGCCCUCCCCCGGACACCUUACCCCCACCACCAGGUCCCAGGCCUUUGGCUCCUGCCCCCGGGUUGCCCCUGCUUGCCCUCCCAGCCCCAGCUUGUAACUGGACGCCCUCCUCACUCGACACCUUCCCAGGUGAGCUGGGGCUUUGCUUACUGAACCCAACACCAGCUGGGGGAGGGGAGUGAGGGGGCACCCCUGGGGCGGGCAUCUGCCGGGAGGCUGCGAGGCUGCAGGAGGGGGCUGGAGGUGGUGGGAGUCCGAGGAGUGGAAGGUGGGCUGACUAUCAGCUUCCUCCCCGCAGGGCUAGUCUGGCACCCGGUUCACUGCCCCCUUCAGGGUCUCCUACCAAGCCCCUCCCCUUCCAUCUCAUCCUCUCCCGGCCAUUUAUGUCUCAGCAGGUGAUGCUCUUGGAAUCCUAAGGAAAUGGAGCCUUGAGUGUGGGGUUUCAGGAACAAAGCUAGGGAAAGGAAGCAGCACCGGCUUCCUCCUUUUUGCAAAGGUCCUGAACACCCAGGGGCCUUCAGGAGAGCAUCCUCACCUUGAGAGAGGAUUGCUAAGGACAGGAUUUUCUGGUGCCCAGAUGGUCUCAUGAGGAAGACAUCUUUAAGCAGGGUGCCCUUUGGAACCUGAGAAAAGGAUCCCACCCUCACCAUUGUGGAAGGAAGGAGGAUGCUCACAGUAGAGGCUAUGCUACAGAAGACAACUGAGUGCGGGCCCACCUGCCCAGCCGCACAGCUUGCAGCAGAGAGAUGAAGGUCUUGUCUGUCUGCCUCCACACCUCCGUCAGCUCCAGGGUCACUGGGACACAUCUCCUCCAGCUCUUGGCCUGGUGGGGGCAAGAUGGGGCGUCAGGGAGCAGAGCAGACCCCUAUGGGGGUCAGGGCCAGAGGGUGAGUGCUACCUGGAAGCAGAACUGCGGGGGCUGGGAUCCCUUGGUUACAGGCGGCAGCUGCAGGAAGUCCCCACAGAUGAUGAGCUGGAUCCCUCCAAAUGGCUUGUUCUGCUG
This is a non-coding RNA of Delphinapterus leucas (beluga whale), 2076 nucleotides long. The record is from RefSeq and is a predicted model, not a curated record. Lineage: Eukaryota; Metazoa; Chordata; Mammalia; Artiodactyla; Monodontidae.